GAUGAACGCUGGCGGCGUGCCUAAUACAUGCAAGUCGAGCGAACAGACGAGGAGCUUGCUCCUCUGACGUUAGCGGCGGACGGGUGAGUAAAACGUGGAUAACCUACCUAUAAGACUGGGAUAACUUCGGGAAACCGGAGCUAAUACCGGAUAAUAUAUUGAACCGCAUGGUUCAAUAGUGAAAGACGGUUUUGCUGUCACUUAUAGAUGGAUCCGCGCCGCAUUAGCUAGUUGGUAAGGUAACGGCUUACCAAGGCAACGAUGCGUAGCCGACCUGAGAGGGUGAUCGGCCACACUGGAACUGAGACACGGUCCAGACUCCUAAGGGAGGCAGCAGUAGGGAAUCUUCCGCAAUGGGCGAAAGCCUGACGGAGCAACGCCGCGUGAGUGAUGAAGGUCUUCGGAUCGUAAAACUCUGCUAUUAGGGAAGAACAAAUGUGUAAGUAACUAUGCACGUCUUGACGGUACCUAAUCAGAAAGCCACGGCUAACUACGUG
This 497-nucleotide ribosomal RNA is filed under the name uncultured bacterium. RNAcentral describes it as "partial 16S ribosomal RNA". It matches the Rfam family "Bacterial small subunit ribosomal RNA", at positions 28 to 507 of the family's 1533-position model. The record is from RNAcentral.